RNAcentral lists this ribosomal RNA (256 nucleotides) under uncultured bacterium. RNAcentral describes it as "partial 16S ribosomal RNA". It matches the Rfam family "Bacterial small subunit ribosomal RNA", at positions 524 to 776 of the family's 1533-position model. The record is from RNAcentral.
GACGUAGGUGGCGAACGUUAUCCGGAAUUAUUGGGCGUAAAGGGUGCGUAGGUGGCUUGACAAGUUAUCAGUGGCAAAUCGAGGCUUAACCUCGCGGAAACUGGUAAUACUGUUUGGCUCGAGUGCAGGAGAGGUUAACGGAACUCUAUGUGGAGCGGUAAAAUGCACAGAUAUAUAGAAGAACACCAAUAACGGCGAAGGCAGUUAACUAUUCUGUUACUGACACUGAGGCACGAAAGCGUGGGGAGCAAAACGG